Molecule: non-coding RNA, 75 nt
Organism: Myotis brandtii (Brandt's bat)
Lineage: Eukaryota; Metazoa; Chordata; Mammalia; Chiroptera; Vespertilionidae
Source: Rfam
GGUGGUUCUCGGGUGACACACCCCGGAAUCAGGCUCCCUCCUCUCUGGUUCAGGGUGUGUCACCCAAGAACCUCA